RNAcentral lists this ribosomal RNA (219 nucleotides) under uncultured bacterium. Its description in RNAcentral is "partial 16S ribosomal RNA". It matches the Rfam family "Bacterial small subunit ribosomal RNA", at positions 114 to 334 of the family's 1533-position model. The record is from RNAcentral.
CGCGUAGGAACCUGUCCUUUUGUGGGGGAUAACAGUGGGAAACCGCUGCUAAUACCGCAUGAGGUCGUCAUGGGAGACCGUGAUGAAGAAAGGCGAAAGCCGCAGAAGGAGGGGCCUGCGUCCGAUUAGCUAGUUGGUGUGGUAAGAGCGCACCAAGGCGACGAUCGGUAGCUGGUCUGAGAGGAUGGUCAGCCACACUGGGACUGAGAUACGGCCCAG